RNAcentral lists this long non-coding RNA (5459 nucleotides) under Populus trichocarpa (black cottonwood). RNAcentral's name for it is "long non-coding RNA (PTRI_LNC002088)". The record is from RNAcentral. Lineage: Eukaryota; Viridiplantae; Streptophyta; Magnoliopsida; Malpighiales; Salicaceae.
UUUAAAAACUAAAAUAAAAAUAGAUUUAAUAUAAGACCUGAGUCACGAAAUAGUGGAAAAAGCGAGCACACAGUGGGGAGCAGAUCUAACCUACCUUUCAUAUUUUCUACGCAAUGCUCUGCUGGUUUCAUUAAUCCAUCAGUUUAAAAUUCUUUGCCCGUUUCUACUUGAAACAACAAAUCUAAGCAACCAUCAAAUUCACAAAUGAUAACAUAUACCAUCUUGGAGAUUGACAUUGCAACUGUCUGUUUAUCUUACAACAAACUAAGCUCUCUCUGCAGCGACUUCUUCAUCACCAACGAAAACUGAUCUAGCAUCAACCUCCAUCACUAUCUAGCUGCUGUUCAAAAAAAUUAUCUUUACCUCAAUUAGAAAAGCUGAUGCCCAGAGCACUUCACCUCGCUGUGACUAGCAGAAAGCAAUCAUUAAUUCAGAUACAACGAGUGAAGUGCCGGUGAUUAAAUCUUUAUGUGAUGCAACCUUGGUAAAUUAGUAUACUAAUAAUACCGUCCCCAAGGCUCCAAGCCUUGAAAGCGUGCUUCUUCUUCUUUUUAUUUUUUAUUUUUAUUUUUAUUUUUUUGUAUCAGAGCAAUAAAAGCGCGUCUAUGCAGCGUGAAGUAAUUAAGGUAGUGAGAAAAAAUCACGAGGUCAAAGCUGCCGCCGUCUCGGGUGAGUUAUGGAUAAUAACAUAUAAAAAGCUUAUGAUCUUAUCGAAACUGGUUUCAUAAGACGGCCAAAUUGCCGAUGCAAUUUGAAACAAUACGAAGGCAUUACUUUGAAAAAUAAAAAAUACAUCUAUUAAUUUAUUCUAAUAUAAAUUUUAUAGGUUGCAGCCGAUCAAAUAAAAAAAUAAAAACACAAAUUGCAAGUUAAAGGUUUUCACAAAAAAAAUUGAAGUAGAGUUAUUAAUUUAUUUAUUUUUCAUCAAACAAAAUAAGGUAAUUUAAAUUUAAAAUCUAUUUUUGUUUUGUUUUGAGAUGUUUGGUAAUAAUUUGAUGAGGUUCUUUUAUAAUUUUACUAUUUUUGCUCAUUUUUUAAAAAUCUGCUAGCUCUACCAAUUGUUUUUUGAAUUCUUGUUAUAAUGAUUUUUUUUCUAAUUAAUUAGAUAUAUUUUAUUGGUUUGUUUUGAUUAUGCUUGGAUUUUUUUUUUAUGUUUUGUUUUUAGUAGAGCCACCAAAAUUAUCAAUUUUUUCUUACGAUAUAUGUUUUGAUUUUAGGCUGAACGAUGAACAAACUAAGAAGAAUUGAUUCUUUAUUAUUUUUUGUUUUAUUUCAAAGUUUAUCAAACAUAAAUAAUACUUCGCUUUAACUAAUAUUUCUUAUAUACUUUAUAUGUUUAUAUUUGAUAGGUAUAAAGACCAACAAUAUUAAAGUGAUGGAUGCAUUAUGAAGAUGAAAUUAACUUCAUUGCUUUGACUCAAUUUAAUAUUGCUCUAAACAUUUUACUUUAUACAAAGAUCAUUAUAUGUUUAUAAUAAGUUAUUUGAAUAAAACUAAAUUAUACAGGUUUUGUUUUACAAUUUAUGUACAAUAAAUUAAAAUAAAUAUUAUAUCUUAUUAUAUUAAUUAAUUUUGACCUACCUUAUAAAUAAUACUAACUCCGCCGGCGGCACAGUACUGCUAGAAAUUUAUUGUUACAGGUCCAUGUUCUUGAUGUCACAAAAACUUAUGGUCAAACUUCUGUAAGAACAGACAGAAAGGAUCGAAAAUCUCCCCUUCCUUUUCUUUUCUUUUCUUUUUCUAGUCGAUGAACAAUCAAAAGUCAAAACAUAUCUCAUAUAUGAAAUAUAAGGUAUCGGACUAAUAUGGUUUUCUCUCUAUUUUUUUUUUUAAUUUAUUGCACAUUACGGAUUUGUAACGAUAAAAACUUGAAUUACCCUUGCACCAGUACGUGCUCUUUCUCUUUAAAGGGACAGAUGACCUUCCCAGCCAGCAAAGGAAAGUGCCGGAGGCUUCCCUUAAGACACACCAAGAAAGGCAUAGCGAAAACCAUUGACCAAAAAGCAGUUACGAAGGAUAAUGACUUGAUUUCUAAUUUAAAUAUGGUAGAAAUUCACCAAGGCAAGUUGCUUAUCCAUGCCACAGCACUGCAUGAUCUAAGCAAAGAAGAAUCAAAUCCAAAUAUGAAAUUAAGGAAAAUCCAAUACAGUUACUCAGCUUUUCCACCUUUCCCUGCUAAUUUACGGUGACAGCCACGAGCAAGUUGUCAGGUUUAAAAUUAUCCAAGUACGGACACAAAACAGCUAUAAAUAUGAAGUGCAGAUAGAUUCUGAAGACAACUCUAACAAUCAACUUUCUUUCCUUUCUCUGCCUCUGUAUUCCUUGUAUGUCUUAUAUUUCCUUCCUUAUCUAGGAUUUUAUAGAACAUUUUCCUGUUAUAUCUUAAUCUUUUAUCAAAACCCUGAACUCUCCAUAGUCUGUUUUUCUUAGCUUAGUCUUGUGUUCUCGACAUCUAUAUAUAUAUUACACCAACUCAUCAAAAUCCCAGUUUUCUAUUCAUACAAAAAAACAGUUCCCUGAGAUUUUUUAGCAUCAAGUUUCAGAUUUCCGGGAUAUCCUUCAACGUCAUGGUAUAGCUCUGUAUCUGGAAAAUCUGUUUCUCUAUUGUUUCUGUUUGUUUCUUGUUGUUUUGUUACUUACCUUUUUCUUUCUUUCCUUUUCCUUUUCGGGUUUAAUAUUUUCAGGCACGAGAGACUGGGAAUGUCAGAUAUGAUGAGGUUAGAUAAGUUCAUGCUUAAUGUUUAUGUGGCCAUAGUUCAUUUGUUAUUUUUGUUUUUGAAUUAUAUUAUUAUUAUUCUUUUUAUCAAUUUUAAAACUGUUUUCUUCUGUGAAUUUUUAUAGGAGUUUGUGUCGAAUUCUCGAGGAAUGAAGCUUUUCACAUGCAAAUGGAUUCCCAUGAACCAAGAACCAAAAGCCUUGAUCUUUAUUUGCCAUGGUUAUGCCAUGGAAUGCAGCAUCACCAUGAAUAGUGAGUAUCUGCAAAUUAAAUCUACAUGUUAAGGCUCUAAACAUGUUAAAGAAAAUUGGUCUUUCAAUGCUAAGGGGUGCUUUCAUUAUAAUUUUCCAGGCACCGCUAUUCGCCUUGCAAAGGCAGGUUUUGCAGUGUAUGGUGUAGAUUAUGAAGGCCAUGGAAAAUCAGCCGGUUUACAAGGCUAUGUAGAAAACAUGGAUCAUGUCAUCAAUGAUUGCUCAAGUCAUUUUACAAGCAUAUGUGGUCAGAUUUUAUUUUAUUUUUCCUUGUAACAUGUGAUUUGUUUGAUGUAUCAGCUGUUUUGAAGAAUUUUUAUGACCAGACUUUUGUUUUUGUUUAAUUUUAGAGAAGCAAGAGAACAAGGGGAGGAUGAGAUAUCUGUUAGGAGAAUCCCUGGGUGGAGCAGUUGCUUUGCUCCUCCACAGAAAGAAGCCAGAUUUUUGGGACGGUGCAGUCUUGGUGGCACCCAUGUGUAAGGUAACUUUGUAUAUCAUGUCCUUUACUUUUGGACUUUCCCCUUUGUCAUCUCUCUCAGAUUACUUCCUUUUUUCCAAAGUGACAAGCUCGUUUGGUAGCUUCUCCUUAUAUAUAUUUAUAUAUAUCCAUGGUCUUCCUACAAAAUUGGAUCCAGUUCUUGUUACUUUUCUUCUCCUCUCUGUUUUUUUAUUUUUUAUUUUGAGUAUGAUAAUAAACUUUAACGAAAACAAAAACUAAAGCAGCUGGCUAGAAUUUUGAUUCAAACAAACAUAACAAAAGAAGAGCGAUUUACCUGUGCGACAACUACAAACAGUACGGAAAUACUGUCUCCGAGAACCUUCAGGUUCAAUCCUACUAGUCAAUGGUCACAACAAAAGACAACUAAAAAAACUCUUUCAACUGUCAACAAAACUUAGCAGAACUUGGUUAGGCAGGCAAUAUUUAUGGUCAUUUUAUUGAUUUGGUCCUCUAUAAGCUGUUUGGACCCAUUCUAGCUGAAUAAAAGGCAUGGGAAUCUACUCUGAUGAUCUUGAUUUUAUUUACAGAUUGCAGAUGAUGUGAGGCCACCUCAAAUGGUAAUUAGUAUUUUAAGAAAGCUUUGCAGUGUCAUUCCAACUUGGAAAAUAAUCCCAACUAAGGAUAUCGUGGAUGCUGCCUUUAAACUACCUGAAGUAAGACAGCAGGUAUAUUUCUUUCCAAAUUUUUAUUACUAAUAAUUAAAUUCUUUUUCCACUAAAACGAUGCAUUAAUUUAUUAAUGAUGUCUUAAUUACAGAUUAGAGAGAACCAAUAUUGCUACAAAGGGAAACCUCGCUUGAAUACCGGCCAUGAACUUCUAAGAAUUAGCUUGGAUCUUGAGCAGAGGCUUGAAGAAGUGUCAUUGCCAUUUCUAGUUCUGCACGGUGAAGAAGAUAAAGUGACAGAUAAAUCUGUAAGCGAGAAACUCUUCAGUGUGGCUUCAAGUUCAGACAAGACCAUUAAGCUGUAUCCUGAGAUGUGGCACGGUCUACUCUAUGGAGAACCAGUAGAAAACCGCGACAUUGUUUUUGGAGACAUUAUCGACUGGUUAGGGAACAGAACUCAUCUUGGAAAUACCAGAUUGGAGAUGGAGCAAAAACGUAUGAAUGAUGCUCCUUCCAAGUCUAAAUAAGAGCAAGAAAUUCAGUGGUGAUGAUGAUGAUCUUCUCCUGGGAAAGAUUUUAUUCUUCAAUUUGACGAGUGCUCGGUCGAGUUUCAGUUACAAAAAUGAGCAAAGACAAAAAUAAAAAGAAGAAGACAGCCUAAGUGAUGGCAUGAGAUACAUCAAUAGUCGCUGUUGGACUGGACAGUUCCACCUAAAGUUAACUUAAGACUAUGAGAUAAGGACAUUUUAACUACAUAAAAAUAAAAUGGCUUCUGAUUAUGCUUAAUUCACUCUCCUAAACAUCAUCUGUACGAAAAGUUUGUUUUGUUUUACAUUGCUUACCUUAAUUUCAUAGCGGGAAACUAUCUUGAUUUUGAAAACGUGUUCAUUAGCUAAUUUCAGUUCUCAGGUAAAUGUAAGUAACUUGUAGGAUCAAUAAAAUGGUUGAUGUCCAUUUCUAGUUGAUGGGCUAUGAUGCUUAAAAAUCGCAUAAAAAAUUCGUGAUUAAUUCAACUAAUUCCAGCACUGUAGAUGAGAGAAUCUCGAGGCAGGCAGGUAGUUUUCCGGUGGGGUAAGGAAAAAAAUAAAGAGAUAAUAGAGAGCUUAACCAGAUGAAGGACCUAAAAUAGCACGAUCAAAAUUACGGACCCCAACACGACAACGAAUUGAUCCAAAAAUAGUGGAAAAAGCGAGCACACAGUGGGGAGCAGAUCUAACCUACCUUUCAUAUUUUCUACGCCAUGCUCUGCUGGUUGCAUUAAUCCAUCAGUUUAAAAUCCUUUGCCCGUUUCUACUUGAAACAACAAAUCUAAGCAGCCAUCAAAUUCACAAAUGAUAACAUAUUACCAUCUUAGAGAUUGACAUUGCAACUCUCUGUUUAUCUUACAAC